RNAcentral lists this long non-coding RNA (368 nucleotides) under Phaseolus vulgaris (common bean). RNAcentral describes it as "long non-coding RNA (PVUL_LNC001233)". The record is from RNAcentral. Lineage: Eukaryota; Viridiplantae; Streptophyta; Magnoliopsida; Fabales; Fabaceae.
UGAUGAGAACCCUGGCAUGGUGGAUGGACUUGGCCAUGCCGGACUUGAAGACGAGGGUCUGGAGGCGACGCUCUAGGAAGUUCUCGACAGUGAGUGCGAGGACGUAAUCGAGUUUGUUCUGGGUCUCGUCUAGGAGACCGUAGCGGAACAUGCGGCGGAGGAGAGCCUCGCCCUCAAAGAUCCGGCGCGGGUUCUUCUCGUCGAGCGUGAGGAGGUUACGCGCGUUGUUACGGAUGCGGCUAAGGGCGUACUGCACCCUCCAGAGCUCCCUCUUGCACCGCAGCCCGUACUCCCCCACCAGCUUCAGCUCCGCGUCCAGACGCUCCUUCUCAUACGGACGACGCGGCUUCUUGAACGUCUUUCCAUCU